AUUUACAGCACAUCCAUCCUGACCACACCUGAUCUCUGAUCUCAGAAGCCAAGCAGGGUCGGGCCUGUUUAGUACUCGAAGGGGGACCACCUGGGAACACCAGGUGCCGUUUAGG
RNAcentral lists this ribosomal RNA (115 nucleotides) under Amphilophus citrinellus (Midas cichlid). The record is from RNAcentral. Lineage: Eukaryota; Metazoa; Chordata; Actinopteri; Cichliformes; Cichlidae.